RNAcentral lists this ribosomal RNA (1534 nucleotides) under Mesoplasma entomophilum. RNAcentral's name for it is "bacterial SSU rRNA". It matches the Rfam family "Bacterial small subunit ribosomal RNA". Lineage: Bacteria; Bacillati; Mycoplasmatota; Mollicutes; Entomoplasmatales; Entomoplasmataceae. The record is from RNAcentral. RNAcentral also lists the same sequence under 1 other name.
UUAAAAUGAGAGUUUGAUCCUGGCUCAGGAUAAACGCUGGCGGCAUGCCUAAUACAUGCAAGUCGAACGGAGGUGCUUGCACCUCAGUGGCGAACGGGUGAGUAACACGUAUCUAAUCUACCUUCUAGCGGGGGAUAACUUUUGGAAACGAAAGGUAAUACCGCAUGUGGAUGUUAUUAUCGCAUGAGAAAACAUUCAAAGAUCCGUUUGGAUCACUAGAAGAUGAGGAUGCGGCGUAUUAGCUAGUAGGCGGGGUAAAGGCCCACCUAGGCGAUGAUACGUAGCCGAACUGAGAGGUUGAUCGGCCACAUUGGGACUGAGAUACGGCCCAGACUCCUACGGGAGGCAGCAGUAGGGAAUUUUUCACAAUGGACGAAAGUCUGAUGAAGCAAUGCCGCGUGAGUGAUGACGGCCUUCGGGUUGUAAAGCUCUGUUGUAAGGGAAGAAAACAUAGGAGAGGAAAUGCUCUUAUCUUGACGGUACCUUACCAGAAAGCCACGGCUAACUAUGUGCCAGCAGCCGCGGUAAUACAUAGGUGGCAAGCGUUAUCCGGAUUUAUUGGGCGUAUAGGGUGCGUAGGCGGUUUCGCAAGUUUGAGGUUAAAGCCCGGAGCUCAACUCCGGUUCGCCUUGAAAACUGCGGGACUAGAAUAUCAGAGAGGUAAGCGGAAUUCCAUGUGUAGCGGUAAAAUGCGUAGAUAUAUGGAAGAACACCAGUGGCGAAAGCGGCUUACUGGCUGAUUAUUGACGCUGAGGCACGAAAGCGUGGGGAGCAAAUAGGAUUAGAUACCCUAGUAGUCCACGCCGUAAACGUUGAGUACUAAGUAUUGGGGAUUACCUCAGUGCUGCAGCUAACGCAUUAAGUACUCCGCCUGAGUAGUAUGCUCGCAAGAGUGAAACUCAAAGGAAUUGACGGGGACCCGCACAAGUGGUGGAGCAUGUGGUUUAAUUCGAAGCAACACGAAGAACCUUACCAGGGCUUGACAUACAGUGCAAAGCUACAGAGAUGUAGUGGAGGUUAACAUUGAUACAGGUGGUGCAUGGUUGUCGUCAGUUCGUGCCGUGAGGUGUUGGGUUAAGUCCCGCAACGAACGCAACCCUUGUCGUUAGUUACUAACAUUAAGUUGAGGACUCUAACGAGACUGCUAGUGUAAGCUAGAGGAAGGUGGGGAUGACGUCAAAUCAUCAUGCCCCUUAUGUCCUGGGCUACACACGUGCUACAAUGGCCGAUACAAAGAGUCGCAAUCUCGCGAGGGGGAGCUAAUCUCAAAAAGUCGGUCUCAGUUCGGAUUGAAGUCUGCAACUCGACUUCAUGAAGCCGGAAUCACUAGUAAUCGCGAAUCAGCUAUGUCGCGGUGAAUACGUUCUCGGGUCUUGUACACACCGCCCGUCAAACCACGAGAGUUGGUAAUACCAGAAGUACGUUUCCUAACCGUAAGGAAGGCGCGUCCCAAGGUAGGACUAGCGAUUGGGGUUAAGUCGUAACAAGGUAUCCGUACGGGAACGUGCGGAUGGAUCACCUCCUUUCUAUGGAG